Orbicella faveolata is the source of this 1195-nucleotide long non-coding RNA. NCBI's taxonomy places the organism in Eukaryota, Metazoa, Cnidaria, Anthozoa, Scleractinia, Merulinidae. The record is from RefSeq and is a predicted model, not a curated record.
CUUGAUGGUUUGUGUUUUCUCUGUUCCUCGCUGUAGGGAUCUCCUGUCUUAUUGAUAAUUAGCUGUGAAAAGGAUUUCCAGCUAUGUUCUGAAUUUAUCAGGAAAGGAUUUGAUGUACACAAUGCUGAACUCAUCCUGUCCGGAGUUUUGAAACAGCAGCUAGAUCUAGAUUUAUACAAACUCUAGGUGAUAAUCGACGAGACAAUAUGAUGGAUAAUCGUGGAAUCUCUGUGUAACGUAGAAAGUUAUCGCUAUAAUAUGUACAUUUAUACACCGAAAGGAAUGUUAUAAACGAUGUUAGAUGAUCGGUAUGAUAAAUAUGACAACAAAAACGAUUUUUUUUCCCUUGGUGGGUGACAUAGCGUGCUUUGGAAAGAACUUGUUUGAUAGAGUUCUACUGACUUUCUGUAGAUGAAAUUUCAUACAUGUAGUUUUCCCAGUCGUCGAGAUGCUUAACUUUGGAUUGUCAUGCAGUUUACCCCCUAAAUGCACGGAGGCUGGAGGUGUUUAGACGCCAUGUUCGUUAUUCAAGAGAAAUCCCCUGAGAGUAGGGAAAAAAGAACAAGACUUUGGUUUCUCGUUAGAAACGAGAUGCGUUUCUUUCAAUAAUCACCAGUUUUUUUUAUUAUUAUUAUUAAUUUUGUUUUGUUUUAUUUUGUUUUUUUGUUUGUGUGUGUUGUUUUGGUUUUGUUUUUUGUUGUUCUUAUGAUAUUGGUAACGUAUCUCACGGUUAAAUAGUAGAAUUGAACAAAGGUGCAGCUGAUCAAUUCUAGAACCUUGAAUCUGAAUCCGUAUUUCCCUAUAAAUGUCCCCUAUAAACACUAUAAAUGUCAUUUCUUAAUUUAAAUUUAGAUAUCGCCUUAGGAAAUGAUUGUUUCAUUCUAGACAUUAUUUAUAUUAGUAUACUUAUGAGGAGAAACGCAGUAGCUAGUAUUUAGUAUUUCCUCAUGUUACCUUGCAUAGUAUCAAGUUAUUUCAGCUCACCACUGUAAGCUGCAUUUUUUUAAAAUCUCGUUACAACUUUAGGCGUAUGUACCCAAUUGUUUUUAAUGUUAGCGUGAAGAACUGUAAAUAGAAAUUUUAAGUUGUUUUUACUGUAGCUACUGGAAAGUUGUUGAAGACCAACCAAGACUAGUGGUUGUUUUAAGUACCAGAACGAGAGUAAAUAGACGUGAUUAAAAGAACUUAACUACCA